This 253-nucleotide ribosomal RNA is filed under the name uncultured bacterium. RNAcentral's name for it is "partial 16S ribosomal RNA". It matches the Rfam family "Bacterial small subunit ribosomal RNA", at positions 524 to 776 of the family's 1533-position model. The record is from RNAcentral.
UACGAAGGGGGCUAGCGUUGUUCGGAAUUACUGGGCGUAAAGCGCGCGCAGGCGGUUCUUUAAGUCAGGGGUGAAAGCCCAGAGCUCAACUCUGGAAUUGCCUUUGAAACUAGAGAACUUGGGUACGGGAGAGGUGAGUGGAAUUCCGAGUGUAGAGGUGAAAUUCGUAGAUAUUCGGAAGAACACCAGUGGCGAAGGCGGCUCACUGGCCCAUUACUGACGCUGAGGCACGAAAGCGUGGGGAGCAAACAGG